AAUAGAUACCCUGGUAGUCCACGCCCUAAACGAUGUCAACUGGUUGUCGGGGAAGCAAUUCCUUGGUAACGAAGCUAACGCGUGAAGUUGACCGCCUGGGGAGUACGGCCGCAAGGUUAAAACUCAAAGGAAUUGACGGGGACCCGCACAAGCGGUGGAUUAUGUGGAUUAAUUCGAUGCAACGCGAAAAACCUUACCUACCCUUGACAUGUACGGAACCUCGCAGAGAUGUGAGGGUGCCCGAAAGGGAGCCGUAACACAGGUGCUGCAUGGCUGUCGUCAGCUCGUGUCGUGAGAUGUUGGGUUAAGUCCCGCAACGAGCGCAACCCUUGUCAUUAGUUGCUACAUUCAGUUGGGCACUCUAAUGAGACUGCCGGUGACAAACCGGAGGAAGGUGGGGAUGACGUCAAGUCCUCAUGGCCCUUAUGGGUAGGGCUUCACACGUAAUACAAUGGCCGGUACAGAGGGCUGCCAACCCGCGAGGGGGAGCUAAUCCCAGAAAGCCGGCCGUAGUCCGGAUUGUUCUCUGCAACUCGAGAGCA
Molecule: ribosomal RNA, 542 nt
Filed under: uncultured bacterium
Lineage: Bacteria
Description: bacterial SSU rRNA
Rfam family: Bacterial small subunit ribosomal RNA
Source: RNAcentral